AUCCUUGUCUUGCCUUCCUUCUCGUCUUUAAUUUCCUAGAAAAUGAGGAAAGAAAUUAAUUAAGAACUUGAAAAUCGUAUAUUGAAUGCUGCUUUUGUGGCUUUAUGCUCGGUUGACUGGAGGUCUAUGUUUUCUCGGAUUACAAACAAAGGAAAUUCUGAGAUUCAGAAUUUUGGUUUCUUUUAUUUUCCUGCAUUUUCGCAGCAUCCAAAAUUUUUUAUAAGCAAUGUGGAAUAUGUUUUUGGUUAUAUGCUUGAUUUAAUUUGGAUGGCAAAGUGUUGAUGUAUAGGAGGAACACUGGUGCAAAAUUGUGGGGAUUGUGAAAUUGGGGAAGUUGUCUUUCAAUUGGCCUAAGAGCGUUAGCUACAGACAUUAAGCAUGCUCGAGGACAAACCUGGAAAUCCUGAUGCACACCAUUGAAGAGCCUUAGGCCCUUGGCGGUGACUUAGUUGUGCUAGAGAGCCAUACAAAGACAUGGUGCAACAUCCAUUCCCUUUGCCUUUCUUUGGCAACCCACUUAUAUUGUCAUGAUUUUAGCAACAAUGACACAUUAUCUGGACAUUGUAUUUGGAAGUACAUUUGCAUACGGCAAUGAUUCCACUUUCUUGCAUAGCUUUGUCGUUAGCACAUUUGUUUUUCUUGACACUCCUGUGAGAAGAUACAUUGUUAGUCUUUCUAAAGAUGACCCUACUUCUGUUUCACACGUCUGUGUGAUCUGGUGUUGCUUCUAUCUCUCAUGGUUGUUUCCUGUCUGUUUAUAUGUCUCAAAAUUAGUGUGCCAUAGUACUAUUUUUUUCUUAUAAAAAUGGUGUUAGUGGACCCUAAAUUACAAAUUAUCUAUUUGAUAUAAUCAGUGUUUAAAAAUGCUACUGAGGCUUAUGUGUUGAGCAUUGCCUCAAGAUGAGGCACUGUAAAUUAGCCUUGAGGCUUAAGCUUCACCUUUUUGAGGCUUGGAAUCUGGAAACUAUAUCCUCAAGGCUGUUGGGGGCCUGGGGAUUAAGCCUUUAAAUAUUCAAUUAGUUUUAGGCCUUUGUAGGCUUUUAGUUGUUAACAACUAUUUAAGUCGCUUUAGUGUAUUACCAAUUAGUUAAUAUGAAUUCAGUUAUAAAAUAACUGAGUUUGUUAGUUUGUUAUUCCUUCUGUUAGGCAUAAAAAUAACUCUAUGUAAACAUGAAUCCAGAGAAUAAGAAACAAAGCUUUAGCUAAUUUAAUUUUCACCGUUCUUUAUAGUUUCCUUUCCCUACCAGUUUUCUGGCUUGGUAUCACAGCUAGAAAAAAAUGUCUGAAUUCUCUUCUUCCUCUUCCUUCUCUAACCUUCCUUCUGCACAUGGAGUCCAAUUCUUUGGAACAUUCAGUCAUCCACUUGCAGUGAAGCUAGAUGAAAACAACUUUCUGCAAUGGCGUCAACAAGUCUUAGCUGCAUGCAAAGGACAUGGACUGCCACAAUUCAUCUUCAAAAAGGACUUAGCUCCUCCAGAAUUUCUCAAGGAUAGUGAUAGAGAAUUUGGCAAAAUCAAUGAUGCAUAUCUUGUUUGGCAGCAAUAAGACCAACUCUUGGUUUGCUGGCUUCUAUCCUCCAUGAGGGAAGCACUCCUCCCUCAAAUGGUUUGAUCAAACCCUUCAUUUAAAAUUUGGAAAAAUCUUGAGAAGUUAUUUGUUUCAUAGUCUAAAGCUUGUAUUAUGCAAUACAAGAUACAACUGCAAACAACAAGGGAGGAUCCAUAAUGAUAGAAUACCUCCUCAAAAUAAAGAGCAUCACCGAUGCAUUAGCUUCUGCAUGACAUGUUAUCUCUGUUGAAGAUCAAAUUUUACAUGUCCUUGUUGGAUUAGGCUCAGAAUAUGAUUCAUUUAUUGCUUCUAUAAGCUUAGGAUUUGAGCUUUGUUGUACGCAAGACAUUGUUGCAUUGUUGUUGGCACACGAUAAAAGACUUGAAAACACAACAUUUUAAUUGAUACUACUUCUAUGAUUGUUAAUGUUGCCACAAACAAUUUGAAUUAUAUGAUGAAUCCAUCUCAAGGAAGGAGACUUUACCAUAGUAAACAAUAUAGUAAUAAUAGCCAAGCUAGUAAUGUUUUUUCAGCCAUUGACAAGAUUUCCAGUCACAUUCUCAAAGAGGAAGGGAAAAAAUGUUGAAAAUUCCAUGGCAACACUAAGCCUUAGUGUUAACUUUGCAACAUGAUAGGAGAUAUUGUUGUCCAAUGCUACUAUUGAUUUGAUCAAAGCUUUCAAAACCUCAGCCAUAAUCGGAUGACUACAAUGUUGGCAACACCUAAAACUAUGGUAGAUCCACAUUGGUUUCCAGACUCUAGAGCAACAAGUCACUACACACUAGAUUUGAACAACUUGACUAUCGAAUUUGAAUACGGUGGUUCAAAAAAGAUGUACAUGGGUAAUGGUAAAGGUUUGAACAUAUCUCGUAUAAGAGAAACUUCCUUUCUUUCUUCGCAACAUGUCUUGCAUCUAAAGAAUCUGUGGACCCGCAUUUUUUACUUGCGUCCUCACUCAAUCGGCGAGACUCACUUUUAUUGGUGAAAAAUU
Molecule: long non-coding RNA, 2539 nt
Filed under: Vitis vinifera (wine grape)
Lineage: Eukaryota; Viridiplantae; Streptophyta; Magnoliopsida; Vitales; Vitaceae
Description: long non-coding RNA (VVIN_LNC000114)
Source: RNAcentral